This 224-nucleotide ribosomal RNA is filed under the name Catenaria anguillulae. RNAcentral's name for it is "partial large subunit ribosomal RNA". It matches the Rfam family "Eukaryotic large subunit ribosomal RNA", at positions 143 to 335 of the family's 3401-position model. The record is from RNAcentral. Lineage: Eukaryota; Fungi; Blastocladiomycota; Blastocladiomycetes; Blastocladiales; Catenariaceae.
UUGUACUGGGAAACAUGUUCCACCAUGGGCAUGUCCGUGAAUGUAAAGUCCACUGGAAUGUGGCAGCGCUUCGGCGUUCUUUGGGUCAGAGAGGGUGAAAACCCCGUUUACAUUCAUUGUGGGGCGUGUCUGUUGUGUGGGCGUGUUGAAGAGUCGGAUUGUUUGGGAAUGCAAUCCAAAACGGGUGGUAAAUUCCAUCCAAGACUAAAUAUUAGCAUGAGACC